This 198-nucleotide ribosomal RNA is filed under the name uncultured bacterium. Its description in RNAcentral is "partial 16S ribosomal RNA". It matches the Rfam family "Bacterial small subunit ribosomal RNA", at positions 326 to 539 of the family's 1533-position model. The record is from RNAcentral.
ACGCUCGACACCUACGGAAGGCAGCAGUGGGGAAUAUUGCACAAUGGGGGAAACCCUGAUGCAGCGACGCCGCGUGGAGGAAGAAGGUCUUCGGAUUGUAAACUCCUGUCCCAGGGGACGAUAAUGACGGUACCCUGGGAGGAAGCACCGGCUAACUACGUGCUAGCAGCCGCGGUAAUCUGAGCGGGCUGGCAAGGC